UACGGGGGGGCAAGCGUUGUUCGGAAUUACUGGGCGUAAAGGGCGUGUAGGCGGCCAACUAAGUCCGACGUGAAAUCCCCAGGCUUAACCUGGGAACUGCGUCGGAUACUGGAUGGCUUGAAUCCGGGAGAGGGAUGCAGAAUUCCAGGUGUAGCGGUGAAAUGCGUAGAUAUCUGGAGGAAUACCGGUGGCGAAGGCGGCAUCCUGGACCGGCAUUGACGCUGAAGCGCGAAAGCUAGGGGAGCAAACGGG
RNAcentral lists this ribosomal RNA (252 nucleotides) under uncultured bacterium. Its description in RNAcentral is "partial 16S ribosomal RNA". It matches the Rfam family "Bacterial small subunit ribosomal RNA", at positions 524 to 776 of the family's 1533-position model. The record is from RNAcentral.